GUCCAGACUCCUACGGGAGGCAGCAGUGGGGGAUAUUGCACAAUGGGGGGAACCCUGAUGCAGCGACGCCGCGUGGGUGAAGGAGUAUUUCGGUAUGUAAAGCCCUAUCAGCAGGGAAGAACAAUGACGGUACCUGACUAAGAAGCACCGGCUAAAUACGUGCCAGCAGCCGCGGUAAUACGUAGGGGGCAAGCGUUAUCCGGAUUUACUGGGUGUAAAGGGAGCGUAGACGGCAGUGCAAGUCUGGAGUGAAAGGCGGGGGCUCAACCCCCGGACUGCUCUGGAAACUGUACGGCUGGAGUGCAGGAGAGGUAAGUGGAAUUCCUAGUGUAGCGGUGAAAUGCGUAGAUAUUAGGAGGAACACCAGUGGCGAAGGCGGCCUGCUGGACGAUGACUGACGUUGAGGCUCGAAAGCGUGGGGAGCAAACAGGAUUAGAUACCCGAGUAG
RNAcentral lists this ribosomal RNA (448 nucleotides) under uncultured bacterium. RNAcentral's name for it is "bacterial SSU rRNA". It matches the Rfam family "Bacterial small subunit ribosomal RNA", at positions 329 to 793 of the family's 1533-position model. The record is from RNAcentral.